RNAcentral lists this ribosomal RNA (471 nucleotides) under uncultured bacterium. RNAcentral's name for it is "bacterial SSU rRNA". It matches the Rfam family "Bacterial small subunit ribosomal RNA", at positions 329 to 793 of the family's 1533-position model. The record is from RNAcentral.
GCAGAGCAUCCUACGGGAGGCAGCAGUGGGGAAUAUUGCACAAUGGGCGCAAGCCUGAUGCAGCCAUGCCGCGUGUAUGAAGAAGGCCUUCGGGUUGUAAAGUACUUUCAGCAGUGAGGAAGGUGGGUAUGUUAAUAGCAUACUCAUUUGACGUUAGCUGCAGAAGAAGCACCGGCUAACUCCGUGCCAGCAGCCGCGGUAAUACGGAGGGUGCGAGCGUUAAUCGGAAUUACUGGGCGUAAAGCGCAUGCAGGUGGUUUGUUAAGUCAGAUGUGAAAGCCCGGGGCUCAACCUCGGAAUUGCAUUUGAAACUGGCAAACUAGAGUACUGUAGAGGGGGUAGAAUUUCAGGUGUAGCGGUGAAAUGCGUAGAGAUCUGAAGGAAUACCGGUGGCGAAGGCGGCCCCCUGGACAGAUACUGACACUCAGAUGCGAAAGCGUGGGGAGCAAACAGGAUUAGAUACCCUGGUAA